Molecule: ribosomal RNA, 460 nt
Filed under: uncultured bacterium
Lineage: Bacteria
Description: partial 16S ribosomal RNA
Rfam family: Bacterial small subunit ribosomal RNA
Source: RNAcentral
CCUACGUGCGGCAGCAGUGAGGAAUAUUGGUCAAUGGGCGCGAGCCUGAACCAGCCGAGUAGCGUGAAGGAUGACUGCCCUACGGGUUGUAAACUUCUUUUAUAAAGGAAUAAAGUGAGGCACGUGUGCCUUUUUGUAUGUACUUUAUGAAUAAGGAUCGGCUAACUCCGUGCCAGCAGCCGCGGUAAUACGGAGGAUCCGAGCGUUAUCCGGAUUUAUUGGGUUUAAGGGGAGCGUAGAUGGGUUGUUAAGUCAGUUGUGAAAGUUUGCGGCUCAACCGUAAAAUUGCAAUUGAUACUGGCAGUCUUGAGUACAGUUGAGGUAGGCGGAAUUCGUGGUGUAGCGGUGAAAUGCUUAGAUAUCACGAAGAACUCCGAUUGCGAAGGCAGCUUACUAAACUGCCACUGACAUUGAUGCUCGAAAGUGUGGGUAUCAAACAGGAUUAGAUACCCCUGUAGUC